CCUAUAGUUAUACUCAAAACAUUUACCAAUAAUAGCCCCAUAAUGUAAGUCUGCAUAUGGUUCAUCUCCAGUUAAAAGUUCCCAUAAAACUAUGCCAAACGAAAAAACAUCAACCUACAGAAACAACAAAGUCAUAUAUAACAUUAAUUUAGUUUUUCAAUGAUGAAAUACACACACACACACGCACGUGUGUUUGUGUGUGUAUGAGAGAGAGAAAGAUAUAAAGGAGAGAGAGGAGAUACAAAUCACACAAUGAAUGAAUGUUACAAGGCAAGAAUGAGUUUGUUUCCCCCUUUUGGACAUGUCCUCCGUCUCAAUACUAAAAGAACUCUAAAUCAUAACUAAAUUAUUAUAUUUGGGUUUCAAAGGUAGCACUCACACAACAUUAUGCCAACUAAACCAACUGCAACACAACAUUCUGCCAACUACACAUAUUUGAACAUUGAACACCAAUGAAUGAGGCUGAACACAACAUUGGACACAAUGCUUUUGCUGCCCCCUGUUGAACAUAUGAAUGAACACAUUUGAAGACAACAAUGAAUGCUUCUGCUGCCCUGCUGAACAUAUGAAUAAACACAUUUUUUAACACAACAUUGAACACAUGAAUGAAUACAUAUUUUAACACAACAUUAGUACUGUUGAACACAACAACAUAUAUAUUUAUUACUGCUGAACACAUGAAUGAACACACGAUACUACUGUUGAACACAACAUUCAUAUGUACUAUUGCAAGAAAGUGGAGAGAACUCACUUUUAUUGCAUUAAGCUAAUGAAGGUAAUAAUCCUUCAAAAAUGCGUGCUACAAAAUCAUGGUGAGUUGGUGCUAAAAAUGUGGUGAAUGGAUAUCAUUUUGUUCACAAUAGCCACUCCAUGAAAAUGAGACUCAUAAAGAGGUGAAACACCAACCAAAAGUAAUGCUGCUGAAUUGUAUAAUUUUCCAAGGUAAAAGUUGCAGAUUACAUAACUCAAAAUAUGUAGUCUAAAAAGCAAAAAAUUAUCGAUAGAAACAAAAUUCAACAGCCUGAUCGAUUACCAGAGUAAUUUUGCCCCAAUUCCUUUUCACAACAAGUUGCCGAUCCCAAUUCGAGCUAGUUCCAAUUCCAAUUCGUAGAGAUUGCAGUAAUCACAACAACUAAUCGUAGAAAUUGGGUAAAUCGUUGAGACUAGAAAUUGUUGAGAGACUAGAAAUUAUUGAGAGGAAAUUGCAGAAAUCGUUGAGAGUCUCAACGAAAUUGCAGAUGGAUCCGCUAGAAAGUCGUCCGCUUGUCCUUUAAGCGGAUUGAAUAUUUUUUUCGAAUACUUGGCCUAAUUAAGGGCAUAACUAGCGGAUGGCGAAGAGUGG
This 1342-nucleotide long non-coding RNA is filed under the name Panax ginseng (ginseng). RNAcentral's name for it is "long non-coding RNA (PGIN_LNC004547)". The record is from RNAcentral. Lineage: Eukaryota; Viridiplantae; Streptophyta; Magnoliopsida; Apiales; Araliaceae.